Molecule: ribosomal RNA, 406 nt
Filed under: uncultured bacterium
Lineage: Bacteria
Description: partial 16S ribosomal RNA
Rfam family: Bacterial small subunit ribosomal RNA
Source: RNAcentral
AUUGAACGCUGGCGGCAGGCCUAACACAUGCAAGUCGAGCGAGCGGCGGACGGGUGAGUAAUGUCUGGGAAACUGCCUGAUGGAGGGGGAUAACUACUGGAAACGGUAGCUAAUACCGCAUACCAUCAGAUGUGCCCAGAUGGGAUUAGCUAGUAGGUGGGGUAAUGGCUCACCUAGGCGACGAUCCCUAGCUGGUCUGAGAGGAUGACCAGCAACACUGGAACGGAGACACGGACCAGACUCCUACGUGAGGCAGCAGUGGGGAAUAUUGCACAAGGGGCGCAAGGCUGAUGCAGCCAUGCCGCGUGUAUGAAGAAGGCCUUCGGGGUGUAAAGUACGUUCAGCGAGGAGGCGGUACUCGCAGAAGAAGCACCGGCUAACUCCGUGCCAGCAGCCGCGGUAAUUC